ACGUCGAGCGGUAACAGAUCCAGCUUGCUGGAUGCUGACGAGCGGCGGACGGGUGAGUAACGCAUAGGAAUUUACCCGGUAGUGGGGGAUAACCUGGGGAAACUCAGGCUAAUACCGCAUACGUCCUACGGGAGAAAGGGGGCUUUGGCUCCCGCUAUCGGAUGAGCCUAUGCCGGAUUAGCUGGUUGGUGAGGUAAUGGCUCACCAAGGCGACGAUCCGUAGCUGGUCUGAGAGGAUGAUCAGCCACAUCGGGACUGAGACACGGCCCGAACUCCUACGGGAGGCAGCAGUGGGGAAUAUUGGACAAUGGGGGCAACCCUGAUCCAGCCAUGCCGCGUGUGUGAAGAAGGCCCUCGGGUUGUAAAGCACUUUCAGCGAGGAAGAACGCCUGGUGGUUAAUACCCGCCAGGAAAGACAUCACUCGCAGAAGAAGCACCGGCUAACUCCGUGCCAGCAGCCGCGGUAAUACGGAGGGUGCAAGCGUUAAUCGGAAUUACUGGGCGUAAAGCGCGCGUAGGUGGCUUGAUAAGCCGGUUGUGAAAGCCCCGGGCUCAACCUGGGAACGGCAUCCGGAACUAUGAGGCUAGAGUGCAGGAGAGGAAGGUAGAAUUCCCGGUGUAGCGGUGAAAUGCGUAGAGAUCGGGAGGAAUACCAGUGGCGAAGGCGGCCUUCUGGACUGACACUGACACUGAGGUGCGAAAGCGUGGGUAGCAAACAGGAUUAGAUACCCUGGUAGUCCACGCCGUAAACGAUGUCGACCAGCCGUUGGGUGCCUAGCGCACUUUGUGGCGAAGUUAAC
RNAcentral lists this ribosomal RNA (800 nucleotides) under Halomonas sp. Mg55. RNAcentral's name for it is "bacterial SSU rRNA". It matches the Rfam family "Bacterial small subunit ribosomal RNA", at positions 59 to 856 of the family's 1533-position model. Lineage: Bacteria; Pseudomonadati; Pseudomonadota; Gammaproteobacteria; Oceanospirillales; Halomonadaceae. The record is from RNAcentral.